This 459-nucleotide ribosomal RNA is filed under the name uncultured bacterium. RNAcentral's name for it is "partial 16S ribosomal RNA". It matches the Rfam family "Bacterial small subunit ribosomal RNA", at positions 338 to 795 of the family's 1533-position model. The record is from RNAcentral.
ACUACGGGUGGCAGCAGUGAGGAAUAUUGGUCAAUGGUCGGGAGACUGAACCAGCCAAGCCGCGUGAGGGAGGAAGGUACAGAGUAUCGUAAACCUCUUUUGUCAGGGAACAAAGGCGGGGACGUGUCCCCGGAUGAGUGUACCUGAAGACAAAGCAUCGGCUAACUCCGUGCCAGCAGCCGCGGUAAUACGGAGGAUGCGAGCGUUAUCCGGAUUUCUUGGGGUUAAAGGGUGCGCAGGCGGUCUGUUAAGUAAGCGGUAAAAGCCCGGGGCUCAACCCCGGCCCGCCGUUGAAACUGGCAGUCUCGAGUUGGAGAGAGGUAUGCGGAAUGCGCGGUUUAGCGGUGAAAUGCAUAGAUAUCGCGCAGAACUCCGAUUGCGAAGGCAGCAUGCCGGCUCCACACUGACGCUGAGGCACGAAAGCGUGGGUAUCGAACAGGAUUAGAUACCCGUGUAGUC